CCUGUAUUUAAUCGUAUAUUUCCAAUAGAGAUGAAAGGUUGCGAAGAACUUUGUGUUCCACAAGAACAGAUUGCCACUGAUACAUGUUGACAUUUAGUUUACGGAAUGGAACAGUAUAAAUUCAAAAAAGAAUGUAAUUUAAAAAAUGAAUGUAAAUUUAAAUAUGAUCAAAUAUUUCAAAACAUUUUUUAUACUGUUCAUGCUGAGUUUGCAUCAAAAUGGCAAGACAGAACUACUAUUAAUUGGCAGUUAUUAGUGUAAUAGUUGUACUUUUUCAUGCUAGUUUUUCAGGUUUCAGAAGGGAAAUGGAAAAGUGGUUUUUAGAAUUGUCUUGUCCCUUUUUUCUCUUUAGGAGAUACUACUAAUGGUCCCAACAGCACGUAACGGAUGUAACAAGCAGGAGCCACUGAAAGCUGUUGAACGCCAUAAACAUCGCCAGAUAUGCUUCAGUCCAGCUGCGUAGACUGGAGCUCAACAGCCUUCACCUAAGAUUAAAGACUCUCAGGAUGUCAUCAUAGAUUAAAAUGUCUGUCUACUCUGGUCAUGUUGUGUUAAAUGUGCUAAAUAGAUCAAGCUAUGUAUUCCCGCUCUCCUCAUUCGUCGCACAUUUUUAAUUUUUACAUUUUUAAAUUUUUAAAGACACCUGUUUAAAGAUUCCUUCUGUACUGGAAUCCGACAGUGUUCCCUGGAAUGGGCGCCAGUCUGUUACUCGUUUCAGUUUUAUCGUGUUGGUUGAAACCUGCAGAAUAUGCGACACGGCAGGAUGAAGGAAAGGUGGGGUAGAAGGACCGCACGCGCUCGCGGUCAAACAAAACGGCAGCUCUGAGCAGUGGCAGAGGCUCUCUCCUGCCGACCUCUCCUGUCUGUGAAGGCAAAAAUAGGUAUUGUUAAACCAAGACACCGAUCACAGGUCUUUUCUGAAUGUAACUGCGGAGUACCUUACCGUAGAUCCGUGUUUUAAACAAAGGGCCUGGAAUACGAGUGCAAUACACUGGGCGACAUAGCUCAGGAGGUAAGACCGAUUGUCUGGCAGUCGGAGGGUUGCCGGUUCAAAACCCCGCCCUGGGCGUGUCGAAGUGUCCUUGAGCAAGACACCUAACCCCUAACCCCUAACUGCUCUGGUGAAUGAGAGGCAUCAAUUGUAAAGCGCUUUGGAUAAAAGCGCUAUAUAAAUGCAGUCCAUUUACUUCUGUUUAGGAUGUACACUGAUUUGAGGUUUUGCAGUCCAAUUCAGCACUCUUUAAAAGAGUGCAUGGAAAUAGAUUCUGUGAUUGGCAGUCUCUAAGUAAUUUGUACAUAACUUGUCAAUCAUUAGACUAGGGUAUAUACAGUAAGGCUUCCAUCGGCACAUAACAGCAUUCCACUGAUGGUGUGCCAGCCAGCUGGUGCUUCUGUGUAUUUUCACUUUAUUCAGACGGGGAAAAAACAGAGAGCGCUCUACUAGAACUGGAAACACAGUGUAGGAAGUGGCAGAGCACUGGAAAUCAAGGCUCUGGCAGUAUGGGUGGAGGGUAGAGAGCCAGCUGCCCUGCUCAGAGCACCACACAGGCUUUUAGCUUCAACUGUUGCUAUAAAUGUUGAGCGUGGUUCUUUCCUGAAUGUGGCACCUUCAUACAUGUCCAAAAUGACACCUAUUUUUGC
This is a long non-coding RNA of Anguilla rostrata (American eel), 1641 nucleotides long. RefSeq lists it as uncharacterized. The record is from RefSeq and is a predicted model, not a curated record. NCBI's taxonomy places the organism in Eukaryota, Metazoa, Chordata, Actinopteri, Anguilliformes, Anguillidae. The transcript is spliced from 2 exons.